GGGUCUAUGAUGACAAACCAUUGUCAUGAAAGAGGUGAUGACGGAAAAAUCAUGGUCAAUAGGAUUACAAUGAGCC
Mesocricetus auratus (golden hamster) is the source of this 76-nucleotide small nucleolar RNA. Its record names the gene SNORD115. It matches the Rfam family "Small nucleolar RNA SNORD115". From Rfam's summary of the family: HBII-52 is a member of the C/D class of snoRNAs, which contain the C (UGAUGA) and D (CUGA) box motifs. NCBI's taxonomy places the organism in Eukaryota, Metazoa, Chordata, Mammalia, Rodentia, Cricetidae. The record is from Ensembl.